UACGUAGGGUGCAAGCGUUAAUCGGAAUUACUGGGCGUAAAGCGUGCGCAGGCGGUUAUGCAAGACAGAUGUGAAAUCCCCGGGCUCAACCCGGGAACUGCAUUUGUGACUGUAUAGCUAGAGUACGGUAGAGGGGGAUGGAAUUCCGCGUGUAGCAGUGAAAUGCGUAGAUAUGCGGAGGAACACCGAUGGCGAAGGCAAUCCCCUGGACCUGUACUGACGCUCAUGCACGAAAGCGUGGGGAGCAAACAGG
Molecule: ribosomal RNA, 253 nt
Filed under: uncultured bacterium
Lineage: Bacteria
Description: partial 16S ribosomal RNA
Rfam family: Bacterial small subunit ribosomal RNA
Source: RNAcentral